RNAcentral lists this small RNA (111 nucleotides) under Allorhizobium borbori. RNAcentral's name for it is "Rhizobium borbori Alphaproteobacterial ar15". It matches the Rfam family "Alphaproteobacterial ar15". Lineage: Bacteria; Pseudomonadati; Pseudomonadota; Alphaproteobacteria; Hyphomicrobiales; Rhizobiaceae. The record is from Rfam by way of RNAcentral.
AGCUGAUGCACAUGGCGACCUUCUCCCAAUGUCGCCGCAGCAGCUGUUCCCCUCUGGAGGUCACAGACCUUCAAACUUGAAAAGGGCCCUGGUUUCCAGUGGCCCUCUUUU